CUCGGCAUUGUGCCGGAGGCGCCAGCGCGAAAAUCCAAUUAAUCCGUUUAAAAAAAAAACUACACACGGGCGUUUCGAUAAUCGCCAUGUCACAUUAGUUGGGUGCGCGCGCAACCGGCUUAAUUAAUUUCAAAUGGGAUUGUUAAAAAUUGAAUAAACUUUAACAAGAGAGUGCGCCCGCACAUUACAUACAACAGAACUGUUAAUUGUUUAAAAUUGCAUCAAAAGUCAGCGGGUGUGAAUCUAAGAAGGUUAGAAGCAGCGUAUUUGUUUAAAAAGAAAACAUAACCUCAAACAAUUCAUUGCUUGUCAAGUAAAAGUGUCUCGUGUUUUUUGUCGGGAAUUGCUUUAAAAGUAAAUGCUGUGAAGAUUUCAGGUAUGCCACAAACACUUGUGAAGAAUUUCUGCAACUUAGGUGCAUGUAGAAAUGUUUUAAAGUGCUGUAUUAACGAAAUUCAGGGAAUCAUACAAAUAAUAAACUUAAAAAACUGUUUUACUUGA
Long non-coding RNA from Aethina tumida (small hive beetle), 501 nucleotides. RefSeq lists it as uncharacterized. The transcript has 2 exons. The record is from RefSeq and is a predicted model, not a curated record. Lineage: Eukaryota; Metazoa; Arthropoda; Insecta; Coleoptera; Nitidulidae.